AUGGGGACGCUCGUCUGGCUGAGGCCGACCGCGGCCCCGGCCGUCCCCGCCGGUCCCUCCGCCGCGCACGUGGUGGCUGGCGGUGGUAUAAAUGCCCGGCCUCGGCGUGUGUCCAUGGCGUCCCGCUGCCCGAACCCGCGGGUGCUCCAGGCGGGGAGGUGCCGAUGGCUGGUUGCGAGGUCGGGUGUCACGGCCGCUGCGGCGGCCGCCGAUGACCCUGAGGAUUCGUCGGGGCUUUCAGAUCUGCAAGUGGCUUCAAGGAUCAGAGGGGUCUUCUUCUAUGCAGUGACUGCUGUUGUGGCGAUCUUUUUGUUUAUAGCUAUGGUUGUGGUUCAUCCACUUGUGCUCUUGUUUGACCGCCACCGUAGGAGGGCUCAGCACUAUAUUGCAAAGAUUUGGGCUACUCUGACAGUUUCCAUGUUCUACAAGCUUGAAGUCGAGGGAAUGGAGAAUCUACCUCCCAAUAGUAGCCCUGCUGUCUUUGUUGCUAACCAUCAGAGCUUCUUGGAUAUCUAUACCCUUCUAACUCUAGGAAGGUGCUUCAAAUUUAUAAGCAAGACCAGUAUCUUUAUGCUUCCAAUUAUUGGUUGGGCAAUGUAUCUCUUAGGUGUCAUUCCUUUACGGCGUAUGGACAGCAGGAGCCAGCUGGACUGUCUUAAACGGUGUGUGGAUUUGGUGAAAAAGGGGGCGUCUGUAUUUUUCUUUCCAGAGGGAACUCGAAGUAAAGAUGGAAAGCUAGGUAUAUUCAAGCGAGGAGCAUUUAGUGUCGCAGCGAAGACUGGCGUUCCUGUCAUACCUAUUACCCUUCUUGGGACAGGGAAACUGAUGCCUCCUGGAAUGGAAAGCAACCUUAAUUCAGGUUCAGUAAAAGUCAUUAUUCACCGUCCAAUUGAAGGGAAUGAUGCAGAGAAAUUAUGUACCGACGCAAGGAAUGUGAUAGCAGACACUCUUCUUCUACAUGGUUAUGGAGUGCACUAG
RNAcentral lists this ribosomal RNA (978 nucleotides) under Triticum aestivum (bread wheat). Its description in RNAcentral is "partial small subunit ribosomal RNA". The record is from RNAcentral. Lineage: Eukaryota; Viridiplantae; Streptophyta; Magnoliopsida; Poales; Poaceae.